AACCUGCGGAGGGAUCAUUACCGAGUUUACAACUCCCAAACCCAAUGUGAACGUUACCAAACUGUUGCCUCGGCGGGAUCUCUGCCCCGGGUGCGUCGCAGCCCCGGACCAAGGCGCCCGCCGGAGGACCAACCAAAACUCUUAUUGUAUACCCCCUCGCGGGUUUUUUUAUAAUCUGAGCCUUCUCGGCGCCUCUCGUAGGCGUUUCGAAAAUGAAUCAAAACUUUCAACAACGGAUCUCUUGGUUCUGGCAUCGAUGAAGAACGCAGCGAAAUGCGAUAAGUAAUGUGAAUUGCAGAAUUCAGUGAAUCAUCGAAUCUUUGAACGCACAUUGCGCCCGCCAGUAUUCUGGCGGGCAUGCCUGUCCGAGCGUCAUUUCAACCCUCGAACCCCUCCGGGGGGUCGGCGUUGGGGAUCGGCCCUCCCUUAGCGGGGUGGCCGUCUCCGAAAUACAGUGGCGGUCUCGCCGCAGCCUCUCCUGCGCAGUAGUUUGCACACUCUGCAUCGGGAGCGCGGCGCGUCCACAGCCGUUAAACACCCAACUUCUG
RNAcentral lists this ribosomal RNA (548 nucleotides) under Trichoderma harzianum. Its description in RNAcentral is "eukaryotic LSU rRNA". The stretch from base 222 to 375 matches the Rfam family "5.8S ribosomal RNA". The record is from RNAcentral. Lineage: Eukaryota; Fungi; Ascomycota; Sordariomycetes; Hypocreales; Hypocreaceae.